RNAcentral lists this ribosomal RNA (426 nucleotides) under uncultured bacterium. RNAcentral describes it as "bacterial SSU rRNA". It matches the Rfam family "Bacterial small subunit ribosomal RNA", at positions 954 to 1392 of the family's 1533-position model. The record is from RNAcentral.
GCAUAACGCGAAGAACCUUACCAAGGCUUGACUUCCUGCGAAGGUUUCCGAAAGGAAAUUGUGCCUUUUAGGAGCGCAGUGACAGGUGCUGCAUGGCCGUCGUCAGCUCGUGUCGUGAGAUGUACGGCUAAGUCCAUUAACGAGCGCAACCCUUAUGAUUAGUUGGAUUUUUCUAAUCAGACUGCCCUGGCAACAGGGAGGAAGGAGGGGAUGAUGUCAGGUCAGUAUUGCCCUUACGUCUUGGGCGACAAACACGCUACAAUGGCCGGUACAAAGGGCAGCCAACUCGCGAGAGGGAGCAAACCCCAUCAAAGCUGGUCUUAGUUCGGAUUGCAGGCUGAAACUCGCCUGCAUGAAGUCGGAAUCGCUAGUAACGGUGGGUCAGCUAUACUACCGUGAAUACGUUCCCGGGUCUUGUACACACCG